RNAcentral lists this ribosomal RNA (250 nucleotides) under uncultured bacterium. RNAcentral describes it as "partial 16S ribosomal RNA". It matches the Rfam family "Bacterial small subunit ribosomal RNA", at positions 524 to 773 of the family's 1533-position model. The record is from RNAcentral.
UACGGAGGGUGCAAGCGUUACUCGGAAUUACUGGGCGUAAAGCGCAUGUAGGCGGUUGAUUAAGUCUGUUGUGAAAUCCCGAAGCUCAACUUCGGAAGUGCAGUGGAUACUGGUCAACUAGAAUUCAGGAGAGGAGAGUGGAAUUCCUGGUGUAGAGGUGAAAUUCGUAGAUAUCAGGAGGAACACCAGUGGCGAAGGCGGCUCUCUGGACUGACAUUGACGCUGAGAUGCGAAAGCGUGGGUAGCAAAC